CCCUUAGAGUUUGAUCCUGGCUCAGGAUGAACGCUGGCGGCGUGCCUAAUACAUGCAAGUCGAACGAGAACCAGAUUUCGGUCUGGGGGCAGUGGCGGACGGGUGAGUAACACGUAGAUGACCUGCCUCGAAGAAGGGGACAACGGCGCGAAAGCGCUGCUAAUACCCUAUAAGCUCACGCGGAUUAGAAGCGUGUGAGAAAAGCUCCGACGCUUCGAGAGGGGUCUGCGGGCCAUCAGCUAGUUGGCGGGGUAACAGCCCACCAAGGCAGUGACGGCUAGGGGGCCUGAGAGGGUGGUCCCCCACACGGGAACUGAGAAACGGUCCCGACUCCUACGGGAGGCAGCAGUAAGGGAUAUUGCACAAUGGGCGCAAGCCUGAUGCAGCAACGCCGCGUGCCCGAUGAAGGCCUUCGGGUCGUAAAGGGCUUUUCUGGCUGAAGAGGAAGGACAGUAAGCCAGGAAUAAGUGUCGGCUAACUACGUGCCAGCAGCCGCGGUAAAACGUAGGACGCAAGCGUUAUCCGGAGUUACUGGGCGUAAAGCGCGGGCAGGCGGCCUGGGAAGUCUGAUGUGAAAGCGCCCGGCUCAACCGGGCGAGGCCAUUGGAAACUUUCAGGCUGGAGGGCAGUAGAGGUAGGCGGAAUUCCGGGGUGGAGUGGUGAAAUGCGUAGGGAUCCGGAGGAACACCAGAGGCGAAGCGGCCUACUGGGCUGCACCUGACGCUGAGCCGCGAAAGCAGGGGAGCGAACGGGAUAGAAAC
This 761-nucleotide ribosomal RNA is filed under the name uncultured bacterium. RNAcentral describes it as "bacterial SSU rRNA". It matches the Rfam family "Bacterial small subunit ribosomal RNA", at positions 1 to 785 of the family's 1533-position model. The record is from RNAcentral.